AGCACCACAAGGGGUGAAGCUUGCGGUUUAAUUGGAGUCAACGCCGGAAAUCUUACCGAGAGCGACAGCAGAAUGAAAGCCAGAUUAAAGGUCUUGCCAGACGAGCUGAGAGGAGGUGCAUGGCCGUCGCCAGUUCGUGCCGUGAGGUGUCCUGUUAAGUCAGGCAACGAUCGAGACCCGUAUCUCCAGUUGCUACCAACCAUGCGUUGGGCACACUGGGGAGACCGCCGCCGAUAAGGCGGAGGAAGGAGCGGGCCACGGCAGGUCAGUAUGCCCCGAAUCUCCCGGGCCACACGCGAGCUGCAAUGGCAGGCACAAUAGGUUCCAACCCCGUAAGGGGGAGGCAAUCUCUAAAGCCUGCCGUAGUUGGGAUCGAGGGUUGUAACUCACCCUCGUGAACAUGGAAUCCCUAGUAAUCGCGCGUCACUAUCGCGCGGUGAAUACGUCCCUGCUCCUUGCACACACCGCCCGUCGUUCCAUCCGAGCGACUCU
RNAcentral lists this ribosomal RNA (492 nucleotides) under uncultured Thermoprotei archaeon. RNAcentral's name for it is "bacterial SSU rRNA". It matches the Rfam family "Archaeal small subunit ribosomal RNA", at positions 875 to 1373 of the family's 1478-position model. The record is from RNAcentral. Lineage: Archaea; Thermoproteati; Thermoproteota; Thermoprotei.